Molecule: non-coding RNA, 211 nt
Organism: Cinara cedri
Lineage: Eukaryota; Metazoa; Arthropoda; Insecta; Hemiptera; Aphididae
Source: the annotation of a GenBank genome assembly
CGGCAGACUCAUCGCGAUCGAUAGUAGCCACACAAAUACGAUUUUCAGUAUCACCCUCCUUCGAGUCUUAUUCCGGCCAAAUUUCAUCGGAUACCUAAGGCUCAGAUACCGGUCCACGCUGAUCGUACACAGAUGCAUUAUGCUCGCUGUGCAAAACAACACGUCCAGACAUAUCCAAGCUAGACAGUAGACCGGGGCGAACGGAAACUCU